UACGUAGGGUGCGAGCGUUGAUCGGAAUUACUGGGCGUAAAGCGUGCGCAGGCGGUGAUGUAAGACAGGUGUGAAAUCCCCGGGCUUAACCUGGGAACUGCAUUUGUGACUGCAUCGCUGGAGUGCGGCAGAGGGGGAUGGAAUUCCGCGUGUAGCAGUGAAAUGCGUAGAUAUGCGGAGGAACACCGAUGGCGAAGGCAAUCCCCUGGGCCUGCACUGACGCUCAUGCACGAAAGCGUGGGGAGCAAACAGG
RNAcentral lists this ribosomal RNA (253 nucleotides) under uncultured bacterium. Its description in RNAcentral is "partial 16S ribosomal RNA". It matches the Rfam family "Bacterial small subunit ribosomal RNA", at positions 524 to 776 of the family's 1533-position model. The record is from RNAcentral.